This 65-nucleotide transfer RNA is filed under the name Pharyngocirrus uchidai. RNAcentral describes it as "tRNA-Met". The record is from RNAcentral. Lineage: Eukaryota; Metazoa; Annelida; Polychaeta; Saccocirridae.
AGUAAAAUAAGCUAAUCGUAAGCUUCCGGGCUCAUACCUCGGCCAUGAGACUAUCUCUUUUACUA